CGGACGGGUGAGUAAUGUCUGGGAAACUGCCCGAUGGAGGGGGAUAACUACUGGAAACGGUAGCUAAUACCGCAUAACGUCGCAAGACCAAAGAGGGGGAACCUUGGGCCUCUUGCCAUCGGAUGUGCCCAGAUGGGAUUAGCUAGUAGGUGGGGUAACGGCUCACCUAGGCGACGAUCCCUAGCUGGUCUGAGAGGAUGACCAGCCACACUGGAACUGAGACACGGUCCAG
This 232-nucleotide ribosomal RNA is filed under the name uncultured bacterium. RNAcentral describes it as "partial 16S ribosomal RNA". It matches the Rfam family "Bacterial small subunit ribosomal RNA", at positions 99 to 334 of the family's 1533-position model. The record is from RNAcentral.